CUACGGGCGGCUGCAGUGGGGAAUAUUGGACAAUGGGGGAAACCCUGAUCCAGCAAUGCCGCGUGUGUGAAGAAGGCCUGCGGGUUGUAAAGCACUUUCGGUUGGGAGGACUGCUUCUAGCACUAAUAUUGUUGGAAGUUGACGUUACCUUCAGAAGAAGCACCGGCUAACUCCGUGCCAGCAGCCGCGGUAAUACGGAGGGUGCAAGCGUUAAUCGGAAUUACUGGGCGUAAAGCGCGCGUAGGCGGCUAGAUCAGUCGGGUGUGAAAGCCCCGGGCUUAACCUGGGAACUGCAUCCGAUACUGUCUAGCUUGAGUACAGGAGAGGAGAGGGGAAUUCCACAUGUAGCGGUGAAAUGCGUAGAUAUGUGGAGGAACACCAAUGGCGAAGGCAGCUCUCUGGCCUGAUACUGACGCUGAGGUGCGAAAGCAUGGGGAGCAAACAGGAUUAGAUACCCGAGUAGUC
This 465-nucleotide ribosomal RNA is filed under the name uncultured bacterium. RNAcentral describes it as "partial 16S ribosomal RNA". It matches the Rfam family "Bacterial small subunit ribosomal RNA", at positions 339 to 795 of the family's 1533-position model. The record is from RNAcentral.